UACACACGGAUAACAUACCGAAAGGUAUGCUAAUACGGGAUAAUAUAUUUGAGAGGCAUCUCUUAAAUAUCAAAGGUGAGCCAGUACAGGAUGGACCCGCGUCUGAUUAGCUAGUUGGUAAGGUAACGGCUUACCAAGGCGACGAUCAGUAGCCGACCUGAGAGGGUGAUCGGCCACAUUGGAACUGAGACACGGUCCAAACUCCUACGGGAGGCAGCAGUGGGGAAUAUUGCACAAUGGGCGAAAGCCUGAUGCAGCAACGCCGCGUGAGUGAUGAAGGCCUUCGGGUCGUAAAACUCUGUCCUCAAGGAAGAUAAUGACGGUACUUGAGGAGGAAGCCCCGGCUAACUACGUGCCAGCAGCCGCGGUAAUACGUAGGGGGCUAGCGUUAUCCGGAUUUACUGGGCGUAAAGGGUGCGUAGGCGGUCUUUCAAGUCAGGAGUGAAAGGCUACGGCUCAACCGUAGUAAGCUCUUGAAACUGGGAGACUUGAGUGCAGGAGAGGAGAGUGGAAUUCCUAGUGUAGCGGUGAAAUGCGUAGAUAUUAGGAGGAACACCAGUUGCGAAGGCGGCUCUCUGGACUGUAACUGACGCUGAGGCACGAAAGCGUGGGGAGCAAACAGGAUUAGAUACCCUGGUAGUCCACGCUGUAAACGAUGAGUACUAGGUGUCGGGGGUUACCCCCUUCGGUGCCGCAG
Molecule: ribosomal RNA, 697 nt
Filed under: uncultured bacterium
Lineage: Bacteria
Description: bacterial SSU rRNA
Rfam family: Bacterial small subunit ribosomal RNA
Source: RNAcentral